UUCAAAAGAAGUCAGAUUUUUAAUUUAGGAUAGGAGCGCGCCGCCCCCUUCUUCCCCAACAUCUCACGCCUCUCUCUGUCCGUCACCUCUCUCGGUUGGUCAUGGCGUCGCCGGCGAGCGACGCCGGCCACCUAACUCUUCGCUCUCGUUCCUCCUUUCCUCUAUCAAUUUAUCGGUUUUCAUUUUCUAUCUCUCUCUCUCUCUCUCGGUUCAAUUAUUUUGAGUGCAGCGGGGUUUGCUCGGGCAGCGGCGGCACCCCGAGAGGGCAGCAGCUGCACGUGUGUGUGUGUGGCUGCCGUGGGUCGCAGCAGCGGCGCACUCCUCUGGAUGAGACAGCAGGGGCGUGCAGUGGCGACACUGGACAGCUCCGGCAGCGGCAGUGGUUGUGUGUGCGCAAGGCGGCGGAGUUUCAGACCGCACCUCGGGCAAAGGCCCAUCAGGCAGCGCGUUGUUGAAGCGCACAUACCCCUCAAAGCUAAGUCUCAACUUGUUUCUUGGUUGCUCGCUAUGGUUAUCUCAACUAAUUAGGAUUUAUGGUACUUAAGGCUCUACUUGGUUCAUUCUUUCAUUCAAAGGAUAUUGGAGGAGUUAGAACUUGGUCUUCAUGAUAAAUCUUUUUCUUUUUUUUUUCUUGGCACACGAGCUUGAUAAAAAAAAACGUUGGCAUCUAUUAUUGUUGCUAAGAUCAAAAGCAUCAAAGGCUAAAGCAUGAUAUUGAUUCCUAAUAUAAGCAUGCUUGAAAAGUGUCCAUGAAAGAAGUUAAAUAUGCUACGUGAGAUUUGUUGUUGGGAUUUAAUGAGGAAGGAAUGUUGUAAAGGAAAGAAAAUGGUAGGGCUUGCCAUAAUAUUUGAGCAUUCUAUGAUUCUUGUUCAUGCAUGGUCUAAUGAUAUGAAUAGCUAUGAAUAAAUUUGAUGCUUGAAGAUUUUACCUUGAAGAAAUGAGGAAAAAGUAGGGUGGAGAGACUUGGCUCCUCUUCUUCAAGCACUCAUUUGAAGAUCCUCACUUUGAAAUAAAUUUGAUGGUGGUUUAUGGUGGAACAAAAGAUUUAAGAGUAGAGAUAGAGUGGUAUUUAUAGUGGAAAAGGGUACAUAGGAAAAAACAUGGUCAAAUCCCUAAUUCAUGGAAGCAAACUUUUACACAAGAGAUAAUGACUUUUUGCCAAAAGGGCCAUCGGGGUUCAAGGCGUGACUAUUGAGCAAGAUCCGGAGAGCAUGUAGAGUAUUUUUUUUAUUUUUACUCUAAUGUUGAACUCGAUGUAGAACUUUUAUUUGAAGCUCGGUCUUUAAA
This is a non-coding RNA of Salvia hispanica, 1287 nucleotides long. Lineage: Eukaryota; Viridiplantae; Streptophyta; Magnoliopsida; Lamiales; Lamiaceae. The record is from RefSeq and is a predicted model, not a curated record.